GCGCCCGUAGCUCAAUGGAUAGAGUAUCUGGCUUCGAACCAGACGGUUGGGGGUUCGAGUCCCUCCGGGCGUA
This 73-nucleotide transfer RNA is filed under the name Anaerolineaceae bacterium. RNAcentral's name for it is "tRNA-Arg". It matches the Rfam family "tRNA". From Rfam's summary of the family: Transfer RNA (tRNA) molecules are approximately 80 nucleotides in length. Their secondary structure includes four short double-helical elements and three loops (D, anti-codon, and T loops). Further hydrogen bonds mediate the characteristic L-shaped molecular structure. tRNAs have two regions of fundamental functional importance: the anti-codon, which is responsible for specific mRNA codon recognition, and the 3' end, to which the tRNAs corresponding amino acid is attached (by aminoacyl-tRNA synthetases). tRNAs cope with the degeneracy of the genetic code in two manners: having more than one tRNA (with a specific anti-codon) for a particular amino acid; and 'wobble' base-pairing, i.e. permitting non-standard base-pairing at the 3rd anti-codon position. The record is from RNAcentral. Lineage: Bacteria; Bacillati; Chloroflexota; Anaerolineae; Anaerolineales; Anaerolineaceae.